UUCCGGUUGAUCCUGCCGGACCCCACUGCUAUCGAGAUGGGACUAAGGUAUGCUAGUCGAACGACCAGAACUAUGUCUGGAAGUGGCACACUGCUCAGUAACACGUAGCUAACCUACCCUUAGGACGUGGAUACCCCCGAGAAAUUGGGGUUAAUCCGCGAUAGGUGUAAUGUCCUGGAAUGGUAUUACGCCUAAAGGUGUAUCAUACAUGUUUGAUAUACGCCUAAGGAUGGGGCUGCGGCCUAUCAGGCUGUUGGUGAGGUAAUGGCUCACCAAACCUUUGACCGGUACGGGCCAUGAGAGUGGUAGCCCGGAGAUGGACACUGAGACAAGGGUCCAGGCCCUAAGGGGCGCAGCAACCGCGAAACCUCCACAAUGCACUCACGUGCGAUGGGGCUAUCUCGAGUGCCACCUGAUGAAGGUGGCUUUUCCUAGGUCUUCAAAGCCUUGGGAAUAAGAGGGGGGCAAGACUGGUGUCAGCCGCCGCGGUAACACCAGCCCCUCGAGUGGUGGGGAUGAUUAUUUGGCCUAAAGCGUCCGUAGCCGGCCGAGCAAGUCUUCCGUUAAAUCCAGCGUCUCAAGCGUUGGACUGCGGGAGAUACUACACGGCUAGAGAGUGGGAGAGGUCAGCGGUAUUCUGGGGGUAGGGGCGAAAUCCUUUGAUCCCCGGAGGACCACCAGUGGCGAAGGCUGCUGACUAGAACACGUCUGACGGUCAGGGACGAAAGCUGGGGUAGCGAACCGGAUUAGAUACCCGGGUAGUCCCAGCCGUAAACGAUGCAUGCUAGGUGUUGGGUUGGCCACGAGCCACCCCAGUGCCGCAGGGAAGCCGUUAAGCAUGCCGCCUGGGAAGUACGAUCGCAAGAUUGAAACUUAA
RNAcentral lists this ribosomal RNA (877 nucleotides) under uncultured archaeon. RNAcentral's name for it is "bacterial SSU rRNA". It matches the Rfam family "Archaeal small subunit ribosomal RNA", at positions 1 to 859 of the family's 1478-position model. The record is from RNAcentral.